This is a long non-coding RNA of Rhincodon typus (whale shark), 4267 nucleotides long. RefSeq lists it as uncharacterized. The transcript has 3 exons. NCBI's taxonomy places the organism in Eukaryota, Metazoa, Chordata, Chondrichthyes, Orectolobiformes, Rhincodontidae. The record is from RefSeq and is a predicted model, not a curated record.
CAUCACAGCAUGUGUUGUGAGGGAAUGACACUCUCAUACUCCAUCUUGUCUUGGAUCACUUCAAGUAUGAUACUUCAUCAGAAAUAUGCUCCUUUGUUAUUACCUAUUUGUUUAAUAUUAGCCCAAGUAUUCAGGUUUCUGAAAAGAAGGUAAUAUAAGCAUUGCUGCAUAUGGUAAAGUACCCUGCUGGAGGAAAACCAGGAACAACACUGUCUUAAUGGGAGCAAUACUGGUGACUCCAGAAGACUCACCUCCUGAGCACUUCCAACUGAAAGAAGAUUACAAUUGUUAUCGGUGAAUUUCAACAGUUCUGCAAAUUUCAAACUUAAUUUUUUGUAUCAUGAUACACUUAUAUUCCUGGACUGCUGGUGCGUUUUGGUGCCUUUAACGGUAUGAAGAACCAAUUCGAUAAGUGGCCUUCCCUUCACUGUAUGGGAACAUUAUUCUACUAGCAAUAAACAGAAUUGCAGAAGCGGACAAUUCCGAGCUUUCAGCUGUUCGGUUGAAGGAAGUAGACCGACAUCACCACCAACAUCGAAUUGAAGUUCAUGGCCUGAGCAUCAAAGUUGAAAUUCAGCUCCUUUGUUUGCCCUUGUGUUGUUGCCAUGAGAGAUAGAAGUGGGUAAAUUCCUGGACACUGUAAACUGCAAACCACCACACCACUUCAAACAAAAGCUAAUGUGUGAUAUGCAUGCUAGCCACGGCUCAGUAAUUAGCACUUUGAGUAAAAAAUGUUAUUGAUUCAAGUACCACUGCAGGAACUUGCAUACCAAAUCUAUGUUGAUUCUCCAACUCAGUACUGAAAUGUGAGAGGCAUCCUUUUGAAGGCAAUGUUAAUCUCAAGUGGUAAUUUUAAAUUCGAAGUUGAACUUCAGACAAAGCUUUCCCCUGGUCAUGGACAAUAUUUAUCCUUUGGUCAAUAUUGUUUUAAAAAACAUAUUUUCUUGCCAUGGCUAUGUUUUGCUUGCGGGAGCUUUCUAUGCACAAACCAAUUGCCUUGAUUUUUACAUUGCAACCAGAACUACACUUCAAAGAUAAUUAAUUUGUUGCAAUAUGCUUUGGGAAAUCCUAAGUUCAUGAAAGGUGCUUUAUAAAUGCAAUUUAUUUUCUUUCAAUGUGAUGUGCAACAUGAGUGUACUGAGCUGUACAAUUUAUUGGUGCACUUGUUUAAAAUUUUUAUCAGUCACGGGUCAGAAUUCAAUUGGAGAAUUGAGUCCAAUUCUGGUCAAUAUACCUUAUGAAAGAAAGUAAGGCCUUGGAGAGGUUCUGAUGAAAAUUUACCAUGUUGAUACCAGGGCUGAGGGAUUUCAGAGACUAGACAACCUAAGUAGUUCUUCUUAAAGCAGAGAAAAAUAAGGGUAGAUUUAGUAGAGGUCUUCAAAAUUAUAAAACACUUUGAUAAAAGAAAUACAAAAUAGGAACAGAAAUAGACCAUUUGCUUCCUCAAUUGCUCCACCAUUCAAAAAUGGCGAUGAUCUUCAGAAACGGUGUUUUGAAUUCCACAUUCCCAUUUACGUAUUUAAUCUUCAAUUCCCUUGUGAAAGAACAAUCUCUCCAUCUCUGCCUUUAAGAAUAUUUAAUGAUUCUGCCUUCUCUGCUUUCUCAGGCAGAGUUCCAUAUUUGCACAACUGUCUGAGAGAAAAAAAAAUCUCCUUUUCUCUCUCCUAAAAGGGUAACAACAGUGCCCCUAGUUCUGAUCCACAAAGAAUCAUCUUUUCCACCUUCAUCUUGUUAAGAUCAUUCAGGAUCUUGUACGCUUCAAUCAAGUCACUCCUCCUGCUUCUAAACUCCAUUGGAAACAAGUCCGGUUUGUCCAACCCAUCCUCAUAAGACAACCCACUUAUUCCAGGUAGCAAUUUAGCAAACCCCUUCUGAGCUGCCUCCAGUGCAUGUACAACUUCAUUUUACUCAGAACAAAACUGCAUAGUGUUUGAGAUGUAGUCUCCUCCUCAAUAUCCUAUAUAAGUGAAAAAUACCAUCUUUAUUUUUCUGUUCAAUUCUUUUCAUAAUAGUGUAUCGAAUCCUAUUAAUCAGGUGUUGUACCUGCAUGCUAAAUUUGUGACUUAUCAGAAGAACACCCAAAGCCCUGUGCAUCUCUAAAUUUGGCAGUCAUUUGAAUUUAAAUAAUUAGCUGUUCUUUCUUCUUCCUGAUAAAGCAAAUUCACAUUUCCCCAAUUUUUCUCCAUUUGCAAAAUUUUUGCCCAUUUACUCAACCUCUUGAUUUCCGUUUGGAACCUAUUUGUGUCUCCUUCACAACAUACUUUACACUCUGUUAGUUUCUAUUCACAUUAGGAAUACUAACCAAGUACAUAGAUUUCAGAGUAUUGAUAAAAGUACCAAAGGAAUGAUAAUGAUCACUUGUUUUUCAAAGUUUUAUGAUCCAUAUGUGAUAAGGAAAGAACCAGGAAAUGUGAUUAAUUGGAUAACACUUCCCAAAAGCCAGCACAAUGACAGUGCUUUACAUGAUUCUGUGAUUUUAUAAGCUGAAAGGUUCAGUCAAGUUAGGAUUCCAAAGAAGUCAUAAACAACUCAAUGUUGACUCUGUUUUUCCUUUCUGUAGCUGAUACCAGGCCUGCUGAGAGUUUCCAGUGCCUCUUGUUUUUCAUUUCAGUAAAAUUGACCCAUUCUGUCCAUUUGCUUUUGUUUUGGGAUUUUAUUUAUUGGGCUAGCAUAAUUUAUACAGUCAUUGGAUUGUGUUACACAGGGCGUAGUAAUGUUAAUUGUCAAAAUAGUUUAAAGCCAAAGUAGUAACUUUGUGAUGAGAGGACUAUUCCACUCUUUGAGGUCCAGCAGCAUGGAAAGCUGAUUAGAGCGCAGCCAGCCUUGGUGUGAUACACGUUAAUGUUCUAUUCACCCAGCUGGCUAAGUGCAGAUAGGAAGCAUUUCUCAUGAAUAAAAAUCCAGCUAUUAAACAUUUUGAAUUAUCUUGGGAAGACAGACUUUGACUUAUUCUUUCCAGUUCCACACUCUUCCCUUCCCUCUGACCACGUUGUAGCUUAGUUAAGGACUAGAGUUCCUAUUUGUAUUCGGUCUGGAUUAAAUUACUUUACAAGACACAAGCCUUGGUCAGUAUAUUGCAUAGAUUAUGGAUCUUACAUAUUUCAAGACAAAAGAUAAUUAGAGAUGACAUUUCAUUCUGUUCAUCUGUACUUUUCACUUCUAACAGUUGAUAUGCCCAAAUUGGUAUCAUUUAUAUUUCCAAUGUAUUUGUUCCCAUCAUUAUCUCAAAUCAGCAUGAAGACAGUAUCAAAUUUUGUGACAGGAAGUCUGUUGAAUCCUUUUUAUUAUAAUACAUCAGUUAUAAAGCACUGGAGGGUGAAAUAGCUUUUAAUACUUAUCCUAACUUCAGUAAAAUCUUGAGACCAGUUAUUGUUUUAAUGAUAUAGUUUUUCUAAUCUCAGCUCCUUGGAAGCUUUGAGCAGUUUUCUAAAGUUAACAUUUUAUAUGCUGGUUAUCAAUUACAAACUAAGAAAUGCCACCUUGGUGAGCUCCAAAAUAACCAUAAUUUACUCAGAACUGUAAAGAUUUAUAUUUUGACUGUCUCAGCGAAAAGCCUGGCUGUACAUAAGAUGCUGCUUUGUCCUUGGUAUGCAAAUGAACUGAUUAUUGAAACUUCUGUAUGUAAUUCUGGAAUAUUAGCUUCAUUGAUAUUGAAAUUAAGAAGUAAGUUAAUUGUGGCUGUUUUACCUGCUAUUUCUGUUGGACUUAUUUCCCAACCUUUAUUGGAGUUUCUCCCCCUUCAUUCUAACCUUUGUAGAUUGGAUUGCAUCUUUUGUCAUGCUUUUUUUCACACCAUGUUUGUCCUUUCUUUGCUUUAACAUGCUGUCUCUCUGUCUCACCGUUUCAUUUUCAUCCACCCAUACUUAGAGAUUUAGAAUACAAUUCUUUACUUGUUGAUCAGGCUUGUUCUUGGACCCCUGCACCAUUAAAAUGUCCCUUACUUUAGUCUACAGCAGGUGAUGCCUGUGAACUGGUGAGUUUUGGCCCAAUGAGGAAGCAGUCCCAUCAUUCCAAUCAGAGAGAUUUUGAAUAUGAAUUUUGUUGCGUAACAGUAGGUGUUGUGAAAGAGCUUGAACAAACAUAAUAUCAAUAUCAAUAUCAAUGUCAAUAUCACAAAGUAUAACUGAUGUGACACUAGGGUUGGAAACAUGGUGAACAAAAGCUUAGCCUACGAUUUAUACAGCAUUGAAUCCCUACAGUGUGGAAGCAGGCCAUUUGGCCCAUCGAGUCUACAACGAUCCUCUGAAGAGCACCCCAUCCAGACCCA